RNAcentral lists this ribosomal RNA (301 nucleotides) under uncultured bacterium. RNAcentral describes it as "partial 16S ribosomal RNA". It matches the Rfam family "Bacterial small subunit ribosomal RNA", at positions 509 to 807 of the family's 1533-position model. The record is from RNAcentral.
CAGCAGCCACGGGAAUACGAAGGGUGCAAGCGUUAUUCGGAAUCACUGGGCGUAAAGAGUUCGUAGGCGGUUUGUUAAGUCGAAUGUGAAAGCCCUGGGCUCAAUCCAGGAAGUGCAUUCGAUACUGGCAAGCUGGAGUGCAGGAGAGGAAGGCGGAAUUCCAGGUGUAGAGGUGAAAUUCGUAGAUAUCUGGAGGAACAACAGAGGCGAAGGCGGCCUUCUGGACUGUCACUGACGCUGAGGAACGAAAGCGUGGGGAGCAAACAGGAUUAGAUACCCCGGUAGUCCCUGUCUCUUAUAC